Molecule: ribosomal RNA, 468 nt
Filed under: uncultured bacterium
Lineage: Bacteria
Description: partial 16S ribosomal RNA
Rfam family: Bacterial small subunit ribosomal RNA
Source: RNAcentral
GACGAACGCUGGCGGCGUGCCUAACACAUGCAAGUCGAACGGAAAGGCCCUGCUCUUGUGCGGUGCUCGAGUGGCGAACGGGGGAGUAACACGUGUGUAACCUGCUCUUGACUUUGGGAUAACUUCAGGAAACUGGGGCUAAUAUAGGACAGGAGAUCCUGCAGCAUGGUGGGGGUUGGAAAGUUGCGGCGGUCGGGGAUGGACUCGCGGCUUAUCAGUUUGUUGGUGGGGUAGUGGCUUACCAAGGCAUUGACGGGUAGCCGGCCUGGGAGAGUGACCGGGCCCAAUGGGCCUGCGGUAGGGCCCAGAGGGCAACGGGGGGCAGCGGGGGGAAGUAUUGCACAGUGAGCGGAAGCCGGAUGCAGCAGCGCCGGGUGCGGAAAGACUGCCUUCGGGUAGUAAACCGCUUUAGCCUGUGACGAAGCGUGAGUGACGGUAACGGGUAAAGAAGCACCGGCUAACUACGUG